Non-coding RNA from Merluccius polli (Benguela hake), 71 nucleotides. Lineage: Eukaryota; Metazoa; Chordata; Actinopteri; Gadiformes; Merlucciidae. The record is from the annotation of a GenBank genome assembly.
GCCUGUCUAGCUCAACUGGUAGAGCAUGGCAUGCACAUUGCCAGGGGUUCGACUCCUACUGGGGCAGCCCA